CCUAGCCUGUCUCUAGCCCCUCGCAGCCGGUGUAACGACCCGUCUCACCACCACCCUCCGCCGUCCGCCGAUGACCAAAAAUCACUGCCGGUGGUGGCAAGUCUCCGAUGGCCUUUAAAAUUACACCACUACACCUCCCCGACCUCCUCUUCCCAUUUUUAUGACUUGCAUCCCUCAAAUGUCAACCAAUCCCCUCGAAUAUUUGUUCGAAGUGGCAGCUGCUCCGCCGUCCACGGCGGUACCGGUGCAAAACGCCUCCAAAUUUACAUCAUAGAGGCUUCUCCACCCCUCCCUUUCUAGAUUUGGGUUUAGAUUCCUUCGAAUCCCCGUCGGACUCCUCGAAUCUUGGAUAGGAACCUUGGCCUGAAGCCAUAACCCAUCAAAUGGCCUCAAACUCACACCAAACGGCCCCCUCACCUACCUCACCUCGAAUCCAUGUUCAAAUGCCCUGGUAAAUGCUCAAAAUCCCUAAACCUAGGAUUUUGGAGUCUGCAUGAAAGCCUCCUUUGAAGAUGAAGCCCAGGCCGGUUAAGCUAAGUCCUCACCUUAGUUAAUCUCAUUACUUAAGCCUUUAAUUUAAACGUGUUUGUUAGUUCUGUGUUCGUUUUAAUUAGGGUCAUUCAUAAUUCUGCCUAAUAUGUAGAAGUUAGUUUGGGUAUAAAAAUGCAUAUGAUUAGCAAUUUUGGGAAUUGGUUUAGUUUUUAUUGUUCGAGUGAUGCCUUGGCUUGUUUUCUUUCCUUUGAUUUGCAUUUAUAGUUUUCUGGGUUUGACUGACUUCCUUUAUUUAAAGCUUGAUUAAAUGCUCUUCAUGAUUAAAUUAACUAAAGAGAUCUGAGGUUUUAGUUGUUUCUAAUUCUGACUUAGUUUGGUUUAAUCGGAUUCUGUCCUGGUAUUAUUUUAUUGCUGAUUAUUGAUAUUUUUGCGUGUGGUGAUUCUUCUUAUGUUUAUUUUUGCCUGUAUUUCUCUUUUUUUACUGAUUAAUUCAGUAAAAUUUGAUUUUUUCUGAUUAUCCUUUAAUGUGCUUCCGUUUGGUUCAUACUUUUGUGUAUUUGAUUUGGAUUCAUGAUUGUGAGUAAUUAACCAUGGUCAUCUGACCAAGCUUAAGGGGCUGGGGUCAACUAGUAUAGGUUUGGUGAUUUCAGACUAGUUCAAGGGUAAUAUAGGUAUUUUAAGUUAGGGAAUCUUGCAUAUAUCUGAUUUGAAAACCCCUAGAACAUUCUAGACGGGGUUCCAAUCAGAAUUUUAGGACUUUAGUGUUGAAACUUGAGAAACAAGUCACAACCUUAGGGACAAUCUAGCUAAAGGUUGGAAAUAAAAAGGGGACUAAAAGGCAAAACAAAGUCUGCAGGUGUAGCCCUAGUUAUUGGCCUAUAAAAAUACCAUUUUCUUGCCUUAGAAGGCAGACUUUGAAGGUUAAAAAUUUUUUCUGAAACUUUUAGACAGCUUACAAAAUACUGUUCUACCAAGAUUUCUAUUUUGAAUUUUGGAGCUCCUCAUCUUUGAAAGAUAAUUAGUCGUGUAUGGUUGGUUGAAAUGACUCGAACUUGAUUCCUGUAGAAAAUCUGAGUAGAUUUUAUGGUCAACUACUAUUUCAUUGGUUAUCUCUGUGUGGAUCUCCUGGAUCUUAAUGGCUAAAAUUGUUGUUGUUGGCUUCUGCUGUUGGGUUUCUUUUAAGCUCAUAAGUUCUUUAUUUAUCUGCUGUAUUAGGUAUUUCCUUUGGCUCAUAACUGAGGAUCAGCUGCUGAAUAUGUAAUAGAUUUGAAGUAAUUUGAAGGAUGCAUUCGAGCCCGACCUCCCUGUUAUUUUACUGUCCUUAUGUGCUUUAUGCUUAGCUAUAGAUUCAUAGGAUUGUUGGACUACUGGUUUUCUUUUCAUGAUCAUAUGAUAUUCGGUAGUAUUAGAUCCAAUUUUGUUAA
Molecule: non-coding RNA, 1916 nt
Organism: Nicotiana tabacum (common tobacco)
Lineage: Eukaryota; Viridiplantae; Streptophyta; Magnoliopsida; Solanales; Solanaceae
Source: RefSeq, a predicted model, not a curated record